GAUUAACGCUGGCGGCGUGCAUAACACAUGCAAGUCGAACGAUGAAACUUAAAUGAUUUCUUCGGAAUGAACUUAAGUGGAUUAGUGGCGGACGGGUGAGUAACGCGUGAGUAACCUGCCUUACACAAGGGGAUAGCCGUUGGAAACGACGAAUAAUACCCUAUGAAACUAUCACUUCGCAUGAAGCGAUAGUCAAAGUGUUAGCGGUGUAAGAUGGACUUGCGUCUGAUUAGCUAGUUGGUGAGAAAAAAGCCCACCAAGGCAACGAUCAGUAGCCGGCUUGAGAGAGUGUACGGCCACAUUGGGACUGUGACACGGCCCAGACUCCUACGGGAGGCAGCAGUGGGGAAUUUUGCACAAUGGGGGAAACCCUGAUGCAGCGACGCCGCGUGAUUUAGAAGGCCUUCGGGUUGUAAAAAUCUUUUGUAUAGGAAGAAAAUGACAGUACUAUACGAAUAAGGUCCGGCUAAUUACGUG
RNAcentral lists this ribosomal RNA (477 nucleotides) under uncultured bacterium. Its description in RNAcentral is "partial 16S ribosomal RNA". It matches the Rfam family "Bacterial small subunit ribosomal RNA", at positions 28 to 507 of the family's 1533-position model. The record is from RNAcentral.